Molecule: transfer RNA, 73 nt
Filed under: subsurface metagenome
Description: tRNA-Val
Source: RNAcentral
AGGGGUAUAGAAUAGUGGUUAUUUCGCCACGCUCACACCGUGGACAUCUUGGGUCCAAUUCCCAAUACCCCUA